Molecule: RNA transcript, 1410 nt
Organism: Seriola aureovittata
Lineage: Eukaryota; Metazoa; Chordata; Actinopteri; Carangiformes; Carangidae
Gene name: rho GTPase-activating protein 20-like
Exons: 15
Source: RefSeq, a predicted model, not a curated record
AUGUGGACGGCAGGCUGCACGGACGAGGUGUGUGAGGGAAGCACCAACCCCGACAGGAGCUUUGUCAUUGGCUGGCCCACCUCCAACUGUGUUGCAACGUUUAGCUCCACAGAACAGAAAGAGAGAUGGCUCUCCACCCUCAGAAGUCGGAUAAAAGAAGAGAAAGAGAAGGAGGAGCCUAAGACCAUCCCUCUGAGAGUGUAUGGGAAGGGAAUCAACACUUUUGCUGUUACCAAGACGCUUCCUGUCAGCAACUCAGACUCGACCAAUGAGGUGAUCCGACUGGCUCUGCGGCAGUUCGGCAUCAUAAGAGAGGACUUGAGGCCUCGUGACGCCGAUAGGAAACGUCCAGUGGAGCGUGUGGAGAACACGGUGAGGACGGGAGCCGCAGGGAGAGAUCCGCAUAGACGGCGUCCUGACGUCAGAGAUCGGCCUCCACGACCUGCGUCAGAGGAUGUCCGUCAUUCCCCAGGAGUCCUUGUAAGAUGGUGGUGCUGAUACCGGAGCCGCCCAGUUAAGUGUUACCUGAUGUCAGAAGAAGAAGAAGCAUGAGUAUUUGAGAUCAACAACCAAAGUCUACAGUCCUUGGCUUGUGUGAAACGUCCAGCUGCUCAUCAACUGUGAGAUGGGGGAAGAGAAGUUUUGAUGUAUGAAUACAGAGGGUCCAAUUGGAGAUGUCUUACUUCGAAGGACUAUUUGGAGGAUCCAAUUAGGAGCGUCAACGAGGCGCAGCCCUGUGCAAUUAGGAGUGUCACCGAGGCACCGCCCAGUGAGGAGAUGCGAUUGGCUGUUCACAGGUGUGAGCAAUCAGCAGUGUGCUACUUGAGCAGCAGUGCCGCAAACACCGAAGGCACGGGUGAAGAUCUGCAGGGGCUGCUAGCUAACUCCUUUGUGUGCAAACACCGAAGACACGGGUGAAGGCUAACUUCUUUCUCCGCAAACGAUGGCUUGGACAGCAAAAACUGAAGGCAUGGGUGAAGACCUGCCCUGCUCCUUUCCUCAAACACCGAAGACAUGGGUGAAGGCCAACUUCUUUCUCCGCAGGCGGCAGCCAUUGCACUCAUUGUCUCUGCUGUGUGCUUCAUGGCUCACAGCUGUGUAGGAUGAAGCAAAGACUGAAGGGUGCUCUCUGCAAACACUCUGGAGCUGUGGUGUCACCAACAAUGAAAGGUAAGUGUUGAAAAGCUGUAGGUAACACUAUCACAAGCAUUUACCUUCUGCCUUUUCCUCCACCAGCACCAAGAGCCCCUUGCUGAUGACACCAAGCCCAUUCCUGCUCACAAACCAUGGGGGAAAGAGAAGAACCAACCAACCAACUGCUAAUUGUGGUAUGGAGAUGUGUUACUAAGUCAAAAACAGCAACACUGCUAGAUGCAACAACAGAGUAUCUGACAUGUACUUAAACGUAAG